UAUAUAUAUAUAUAUAUAUAUAUAUAUAUAUAUAUAUAUAGGAAAAUAGGUUAGUACUCCUGGGAGUACAUACUCCUAGCCCACGUGUCCUCCUUUCAUUCGGUGCCAAUGCCUAUUGGGUUUCCGCAACAACACCGCUUAGCGCUCACCGUUUGUUUGUUUUUUUAAGCGGUCGCUCAGCGCUCAGGUAGGAGUAUAUGAAGAAGUUCCCAUGCAGUUUGAAAAGUUGUUACGGAUUAUUAGGAACAAGGCACGUCUAGAUUGGAAUUUUGUUGGAUCUUCAAAACAAUACUCACGCUACAUGCAUAUCUACCAAACAAAGGCCGCGUGAAGCUUAGCUGAUGCGUUUCGGCUGCACGGCGGCGGCCGGCGGCAACCGAUGAGAUUCAAUACCUUUUACUUUCUAUGAUAUACAUUUUUUUACUGAUGCAGCGACGCUCUUGAUCGCCGACAGUCGAUAGCACUCAGAGAACUGGGACGACUGAAUCGGCCCAUCUCAUUGGAGAACACGUGCUCACCCAUGCACGCAUCACCCAUUCCAUGCAUGCAUGUGUGAGUAGCAAUCAUCUGAUUAUCCUCAAUUUCAGAUCCAGUGUAGAUGAGAUGCGAGCGCUGGCAGUCGGACAUUGUCGUCACGCAACGGCGCGGCCGACGGCAACAUGGCAAACUGUGACUUCGACGACGAAAAUGGGAAGCGGCCAUCGUCAGCUGGACGUCCGAGGACACCCUCACGUACUGCCACAAGUGACAGGCGGCGGCUUGACGGCAGCAAUGUGUAUCCAUACUACCAUCGAUGCAUUGCACUCCUAUAGGAAAUUAUAUGUACGGGUAGCAGACUAUCUUUUGUUAUUGGAACUAUGUUUGAUGGAUACAAAUGUUCGGUUUUUUGAACGUAUACUUUCUGGAUAUACUCCGCUUCUCAAGAUUGUAUAUUUAUUUGUUGUUAGUAUAUUUCCCGUAGUACUAACUCUGAAAAUUGUAUACUACUCCGAAUAUUUGAAGACCAUUUCCAUGUACAAAACAUCAUUUUCUCAAUGGAGUGAGAGUAUAUAAUCAGUAUGUACCUAAAUAAUAUACGUCUUACCUGGCA
This is a long non-coding RNA of Triticum aestivum (bread wheat), 1090 nucleotides long. RefSeq lists it as uncharacterized. NCBI's taxonomy places the organism in Eukaryota, Viridiplantae, Streptophyta, Magnoliopsida, Poales, Poaceae. The transcript has 2 exons. The record is from RefSeq and is a predicted model, not a curated record.